CCCACAUGGCAGUUCAUACCUGUCUGUAACUCCUGUUCCAGGGAAUAUGACUCCCUCACAUAGACAUGCAGGCAGAAUACCAAUGUACAUAAAAUAAAAAUAAACAAAAAUUUAAAAGCCACAGGAAAAAAAAUAACCCCAGGAAGCACAAGCUGGCUGCUGACUUCCAUGCACGUGCUCAAAUAAACAAAUAUAUAAUUUGAGAGAGAUGACUUAGUACCUUUUUGGGAGAUUUCAAGUUUAACCCAGAGAGGGAUGAGAGGAGAGAAAGAUGGAGCCAUAUAAGUUUACACAAGAGACCACUGGAAGGGAAAGGGACAGGGACAACUGACCAGCUUAGACCUUGCACCUGGCUCUCCAGGUUCUCAUCCCAGCCCCCACAGCUGCUCACUACACUGGUCUGUAGAAUGAGCUGGGACUGUCAGCUCUGCAGCCUUGGGGAGCUGGUAGGAUACGUACUGUGAAUCAUCCCCAAUUUGUCAAUAUGGAGGUACAAAUGAGGCCAUGUAAAUGAUGGUGGGUGCGGUGCCACACACCUGUCAUCCUAGUGCUGAGGAGGCUGAGGCAGGAAGAUCAGAGUCCAAAGCCAGCCUGGGCUACAUAGUGAGAUGCUGUGUCACAGGGGGAGGCUGGGGCUGGGGCUCAGGGAUGGAGCACUCGCCUAGUAAUCAGGAAGCACUAAGUUCCAGCCCUAGCACCUCAGAUGCUUCAUGGGAGCCUGAGGCAGAAGAAUUGUAAGUUUGAGGUCAGCCUGGGCUACAGAUCAGGACCCUGAUUCAAAGCAAAACAAAAGUCGACAAAUUCCGGGAUUGAGCCCUGGCCCUGCCAUAAGCAUCUGUGAGCCUCGUUUUCCCAAAAAUCUGUUUCCCUGUGUAGAACUGGACUUUAUGUGACACAUACCGGAAGAUCCCUAAUGCCGCUGGAUGCUCAGUGAUCGGGGUAGGUGUGAUUCUCACGUGGAGACUUCAUGAGCCCAGUGAUUGUACCCCAUCCCCAUCUGGAAACCAUACAUACACACACACACACACACAUUUUUUUUGGACAGAUUCCAGACUUUUAUUCUGAAGCCGAGGCCCCAACCUAUGAGGUAAUCCUUGGAGCUUCAUUCGAGUAUAAUUCCUAUUGGUCGACUGGCCAAGCCCCGCCCAGGGUUCCCUGCGCUCCGCCUUCCUCUCAAGCGCAUAAAAGUAUAACAUCCGGACCUGGGCAGCCACCGGGAAAUCUGCAGAAGCUGCUGAACAGGAGCAGGGUCUCUCUACAUAACCCCGGCAGUCCUGGAACUCACUAUGUAGACCAGGCUGGCCUCAAACUGGCCUCAAACUCAGAGUACGGGAGAGGCAUUCUGUCAACGGAAUAAGUGCCACUGGGUGAACUGAUGUCCCAAGUGAAGCGGUGAGGGGCAAUCUAACUUUAUAUCUCACGUUCUUUUAUUUUAUAAAAGGGUCUCUCUCCCUCUCAUAUAUAUAUAUAUAUAUACACACACACUAUCCUGUAGCCCAGGCUGAUUUAGAACUCUAUGUGAAGCCAAGAAUGAUCCUUAAAUCCUCA
Molecule: long non-coding RNA, 1548 nt
Organism: Peromyscus californicus insignis
Lineage: Eukaryota; Metazoa; Chordata; Mammalia; Rodentia; Cricetidae
Exons: 2
Source: RefSeq, a predicted model, not a curated record